RNAcentral lists this long non-coding RNA (269 nucleotides) under Oryza brachyantha (malo sina). Its description in RNAcentral is "long non-coding RNA (OBRA_LNC003241)". The record is from RNAcentral. Lineage: Eukaryota; Viridiplantae; Streptophyta; Magnoliopsida; Poales; Poaceae.
AACGCAUGCAUGCUUGGCUGCAACAUGGUUGUGUUGGCGUGGGAGGUUUCAGGGUUGGUCCAUUCACCUACUCGUCUACUCCGACGUCUCUGAAUCUCCUUGAAUCGAUUGGUUGCAUCUAAAUUGGUAUGUACCCUUAGGGCAUAGAGAAUUAUUAAGUUUUAGGUCAUUCGUGCAUAUCUUGUACAUCAGUUAGUACUCGUGCCGACUGUACGGUUAAAAUUAACGUUUUCACUUAGGAUGUUGGUAGGAUAUUAUAAUGUUUAAGG